This 440-nucleotide ribosomal RNA is filed under the name uncultured bacterium. RNAcentral's name for it is "partial 16S ribosomal RNA". It matches the Rfam family "Bacterial small subunit ribosomal RNA", at positions 338 to 795 of the family's 1533-position model. The record is from RNAcentral.
CCUACGGGUGGCUGCAGUCGGGAAUAUUGCACAAUGGGGGAAACCCUGAAGCAGCGACGCCGCGUGAGUGAGGAAGUAUUUCGGUAUGUAAAGCUCUAUCAGCAGGGAAGAAAAUGACGGUACCUGACUAAGAAUCCCCGGCUAACUACGUGACAGCAGCCGCGGUAAUACGUCGGGGGCAAGCGUUAUCCGGAUUUACUGGGCGUGAAGGGGGCGUAGGCGGCUGUACAAGUCUGAAGUGAAAGCCGGGGGCUCAACCGCGGAACUGCUGUGGAAACUGUAAAGCUGGAGUACUGGAGAGGCAGGCGGAAUUCCUGGUGUAGCGGUGAAAUGCGUAGAUAUUAGGAGGAACACCAGUGGCGAAGGCGGCCUGCUGGACAGAAACUGACGUUGAGGCUCGAAAGCGUGGGGAGCAAACAGGAUUAGAUACCCCGGUAGUC